AGCCAGUGCCCUACACUAUACAAGAUGCCACUGUAGGGACAGGGAUGACCUCUAGCAAGGUGACCCUCAGUGGGCCAGAGGGGGCUUCUGAAGAGAAUUUCUCUAGCUUCUUGGUGUUUCCUGCCUGCUACUUUCAAACAAGGGUCCCAUUUUUAAUGUUUUCCCAGUAAUACCUUAUGAAUGUUAUUGCAAAGGUAAAGGAAAUUAUAUUUUUGCUCUUAUUGUUGUUCACUCUACUCCCAUUUAGCAAUUAACAUUGAAAGCAGCGGGCUAAAUCAACACCACAGGCCCCGUGAUCAAUAUAUGUGAUGAGGACAUUACAUCCUGGUGUUGUUGCCCCAAGUCUUGACGUGAAUCUGACCACAAGGACAAUUCGGACAACCUGAAAUGGUGACGCAUUCUACAAAAUAAACAUCAAUGUCAUGAAAGACAAAGACUCAAGAUUUUCUGCUUAAUGGAGACUAAAGAGAUGCGACAACAGAAUGCCAGGCAUGAUCUUGGAUAUUCUUUUGGCUCAAACAGUCUUAGGACAAUUGAAAAAACGUGAAUGAGGUCUGUAGCUAAUAGAAUUGUGUCAAUGCC
RNAcentral lists this long non-coding RNA (582 nucleotides) under Homo sapiens (human). RNAcentral's name for it is "HSALNT0387641". The record is from RNAcentral. Lineage: Eukaryota; Metazoa; Chordata; Mammalia; Primates; Hominidae.